AUUACUGGGGCCAAGGAACCAUGGUGACCGUCUCUUCAGCAACCCCCUCGGCUCCAAACCUCUUCCCACUUGUCUCCUGUGGAAGCAUCCUGCCCGAGCAAAACACGGUGGCCAUGGGCUGCCUUGCACGUGACUUCCUGCCAAGCUCCGUCACCUUCAGCUGGAGAUACAAGAACAACACUGAUGUCAACGCCCAGAAAUGGAAGGCCUUCCCAUCCGUCAUGCAGGAGGGCACAUAUUUGGCCAGUUCUCAGUUGCUUCUCCCUUCUGAAGAUAUCCUCCAGAGCUCUGAUGAGUACCUGGUGUGUGCAGCCACGCAUCCCCAAGGCAACAAGGAAGUACAGGUGGCCUAUCACGCGCCUGUGGAAGAGAAGUCCCCCAAUGUGAAUGUGUAUGUCCCAUCCCGAGAGUCCUUCUCAGACACCAGCAAGCGGACCUCCAAGCUCAUCUGCCAGGCCACAGGCUUCAGUCCCAAGGAGAUCUCACUGUCCUGGAUCCGAGAGGGGAAGCCAGUGCAGUCUGGCAUCAACACAGGAGCAGUGGAGCCGGAGCCCAAAGGGUCUGGGUCAUUGACCUACCAGAUCACCAGCACAAUGACCAUCAGCGAGAGCGACUGGCUCAGCCAGCGUGUGUUCACUUGCCACGUGAUACACAGGGGGCUGGACUUUAUGAAGAAUGUGUCCUCUGUGUGCGGACCCAGCUCACCAUCAACCAUGCGGAUCUUUACCAUCCCCCCUUCCUUUGAGGACAUCUUCAUUACCAAGUCUGCCAAGUUGACUUGCCUGGUCACAGACCUGGCCACCUACGACAGCCUGAGCAUCACUUGGACGCGCCAGAAUGGCAAGGUUCUGAAGACCCACACCAACAUUUCUGAGAGCUAUCCCAAUGCCACCUUCAGUGCUCAGGGCGAGACCAACGUCUACGUGGAUGACUGGGAGACCGGAGAGAAGUUCACUUGCACCGUCACCCACACCGACCUCCCCUCACCGCUGAAAAAGUCCAUUUUCAAGCCUGAGAACGGGGUCAAGCGGGCACCAUCUGUCUACCUGACCACACCGACCCGGGAGGAGCUGAGCUUGCGUGAAUCUGCCUCCCUCACCUGUCUGGUCAAGGGCUUCUCCCCUGCAGAUGCGUUUGUGAGGUGGAUGCACAAGGGACAGCCUGUGCCCCGCCAUCAGUACAUCACCAGUGCCCCAAUCCUGGAACCCCAGGCCGUGGACUCCUACUUCCUCUCCAGCAUCCUCACAGUGUCUGAGGAGGACUGGAGCGCUGGCGAUGUAUUCACCUGCGUCGUCGGCCACGAGGCCCUGCCUCACCUGGUGACCGAGAGGAGCGUGGACAAGUCCACCGUGGGGGAAGUGAAUGCUGAGGAGGAGGGCUUCGAGAACCUUUGGGCCAUGGCCUCCACCUUCAUCGUCCUCUUCCUUCUGAGUCUCUUCUACAGCACCACGGUCACCCUGUUCAAGGUGAAGUGACCAUCAGGUGAAGGAUGCUGGAGACAUGACAUGAGACCAGGCCACCACCACGUGCAUUCCGUGGGCAUUUGUACCGUGCCCCACCCCCCUUGGCUUUGAUCUCUGAGAAACAGGCUUCUUUGUAGACGUGUGUGCUGAACCUAGGGCCACAGAGCUAGUCCCAAGUGCUGCUUUGUUGUGUAUGCACUUGUGGCUGUGAAAUAAAUAUGUACAUAUCCUCCUUAAA
Molecule: non-coding RNA, 1701 nt
Organism: Echinops telfairi (small Madagascar hedgehog)
Lineage: Eukaryota; Metazoa; Chordata; Mammalia; Afrosoricida; Tenrecidae
Source: the annotation of a RefSeq genome assembly